CACUAUCGUUAACUGAAUACAUAGGUUAACGAGGCGAACCGGGGGAACUGAAACAUCUAAGUACCCCGAGGAAAAGAAAUCAACCGAGAUUCCCCCAGUAGCGGCGAGCGAACGGGGAGCAGCCCAGAGUCUGAAUCAGCUUGUGUGUUAGUGGAACGGUCUGGAAAGUCCGACGGUACAGGGUGAUAGUCCCGUACACCAAAAUGCACAGGCUGUGAACUCGAAGAGUAGGGCGGGACACGUGGUAUCCUGUCUGAAUAUGGGGGGACCAUCCUCCAAGGCUAAAUACUCCUGACUGACCGAUAGUGAACCAGUACCGUGAGGGAAAGGCGAAAAGAACCCCGGCGAGGGGAGUGAAAAAGAACCUGAAACCGUGUACGUACAAGCAGUGGGAGCACCUUCGGGUGUGACUGCGUACCUUUUGUAUAAUGGGUCAGCGACUUAUAUUCUGUAGCAAGGUUAACCGUAUAGGGGAGCCGCAGGGAAACCGAGUCUUAACUGGGCGUUAAGUUGCAGGGUAUAGACCCGAAACCCGGUGAUCUAGCCAUGGGCAGGUUGAAGGUUGGGUAACACUAACUGGAGGACCGAACCGACUAAUGUUGAAAAAUUAGCGGAUGACUUGUGGCUGGGGGUGAAAGGCCAAUCAAACCGGGAGAUAGCUGGUUCUCCCCGAAAGCUAUUUAGGUAGCGCCUCGUGAACUCAUCUUCGGGGGUAGAGCACUGUUUCGGCUAGGGGGUCAUCCCGACUUACCAACCCGAUGCAAACUACGAAUACCGAAGAAUGUUAUCACGGGAGACACACGGCGGGUGCUAACGUCCGUCGUGAAGAGGGAAACAACCCAGACCGCCAGCUAAGGUCCCAAAGUCAUGGUUAAGUGGGAAACGAUGUGGGAAGGCACAGACAGCCAGGAUGUUGGCUUAGAAGCAGCCAUCAUUUAAAGAAAGCGUAAUAGCUCACUGGUCGAGUCGGCCUGCGCGGAAGAUGUAACGGGGCUAAACCAUGCACCGAAGCUGCGGCAGCGACACUAUGUGUUGUUGGGUAGGGGAGCGUUCUGUAAGCCUGCGAAGGUGACCUGUGAGGGUUGCUGGAGGUAUCAGAAGUGCGAAUGCUGACAUAAGUAACGAUAAAGCGGGUGAAAAGCCCGCUCGCCGGAAGACCAAGGGUUCCUGUCCAACGUUAAUCGGGGCAGGGUGAGUCGACCCCUAAGGCGAGGCCGAAAGGCGUAGUCGAUGGGAAACAGGUUAAUAUUCCUGUACUUGGUGUUACUGCGAAGGGGGGACGGAGAAGGCUAUGUUAGCCGGGCGACGGUUGUCCCGGUUUAAGCAUGUAGGCUGGUUGUCCAGGCAAAUCCGGAUAAUCAAGGCUGAGGUGUGAUGACGAGGUACUACGGUGCUGAAGUAACAAAUGCCCUGCUUCCAGGAAAAGCCUCUAAGCAUCAGGUAACAUUAAAUCGUACCCCAAACCGACACAGGUGGUCAGGUAGAGAAUACCAAGGCGCUUGAGAGAACUCGGGUGAAGGAACUAGGCAAAAUGGUGCCGUAACUUCGGGAGAAGGCACGCUGGUGUGUAGGUGAAGUCCCUGCGGAUGGAGCUGAGACCAGUCGAAGAUACCAGCUGGCUGCAACUGUUUAUUAAAAACACAGCACUGUGCAAACACGAAAGUGGACGUAUACGGUGUGACGCCUGCCCGGUGCCGGAAGGUUAAUUGAUGGGGUUAUCCGUAAGGAGAAGCUCUUGAUCGAAGCCCCGGUAAACGGCGGCCGUAACUAUAACGGUCCUAAGGUAGCGAAAUUCCUUGUCGGGUAAGUUCCGACCUGCACGAAUGGCGUAAUGAUGGCCAGGCUGUCUCCACCCGAGACUCAGUGAAAUUGAACUCGCUGUGAAGAUGCAGUGUACCCGCGGCAAGACGGAAAGACCCCGUGAACCUUUACUAUAGCUUGACACUGAACAUUGAGCCUUGAUGUGUAGGAUAGGUGGGAGGCUUUGAAGCGUGGACGCCAGUCUGCGUGGAGCCAACCUUGAAAUACCACCCUUUAAUGUUUGAUGUUCUAACGUUGGCCCCUGACCGGGGUUGCGGACAGUGUCUGGUGGGUAGUUUGACUGGGGCGGUCUCCUCCCAAAGCGUAACGGAGGAGCACGAAGGUUAGCUAAUCCUGGUCGGACAUCAGGAGGUUAGUGCAAUGGCAUAAGCUAGCUUGACUGCGAGCGUGACGGCGCGAGCAGGUGCGAAAGCAGGUCAUAGUGAUCCGGUGGUUCUGAAUGGAAGGGCCAUCGCUCAACGGAUAAAAGGUACUCCGGGGAUAACAGGCUGAUACCGCCCAAGAGUUCAUAUCGACGGCGGUGUUUGGCACCUCGAUGUCGGCUCAUCACAUCCUGGGGCUGAAGUAGGUCCCAAGGGUAUGGCUGUUCGCCAUUUAAAGUGGUACGCGAGCUGGGUUUAGAACGUCGUGAGACAGUUCGGUCCCUAUCUGCCGUGGGCGCUGGAGAAUUGAGGGGGGCUGCUCCUAGUACGAGAGGACCGGAGUGGACGCAUCACUGGUGUUCGGGUUGUCAUGCCAAUGGCACUGCCCGGUAGCUAAAUGCGGAAGAGAUAAGUGCUGAAAGCAUCUAAGCACGAAACUUGCCCCGAGAUGAGUUCUCCCUGAGACUUUAAGUCUCCUGAAGGAACGUUAAAGACGAUGACGUUGAUAGGCCGGGUGUGUAAGCGCAGCGAUGCGUUGAGCUAACCGGUACUAAUGAACCGUGAGGCUUAACCUU
RNAcentral lists this ribosomal RNA (2758 nucleotides) under Klebsiella pneumoniae. RNAcentral describes it as "bacterial LSU rRNA". It matches the Rfam family "Bacterial large subunit ribosomal RNA". The record is from RNAcentral. Lineage: Bacteria; Pseudomonadati; Pseudomonadota; Gammaproteobacteria; Enterobacterales; Enterobacteriaceae.